UACGGGGGGAGCAAGCGUUGUUCGGAUUUACUGGGCGUAAAGGGUGCGUAGGUGGUGAGGUAAGUCGGAUGUGAAAACCUAAGGCUCAACCUUGGGCUUGCAGUGGGUACGGGCAGACUAGAGUGCGGUAGGGGUGACUGGAAUUCCUGGUGUAGCGGUGGAAUGCGCAGAUAUCAGGAGGAACACCGAUGGCGAAGGCAGGUCACUGGGCCGCAACUGACGCUGAGGAGCGAAAGCAUGGGGAGCGAACAGG
Molecule: ribosomal RNA, 253 nt
Filed under: uncultured bacterium
Lineage: Bacteria
Description: partial 16S ribosomal RNA
Rfam family: Bacterial small subunit ribosomal RNA
Source: RNAcentral